UGGGGAAUUUUGGACAAUGGGGGAAACCCGUGAUCCAGCCAUCCCGCGUGUGCGAUGAAGGCCUUCGGGUUGUAAAGCACUUUUGGCAGGAAAGAAACGUCGCGGGUUAAUACCCCGCGAAACUGACGGUACCUGCAGAAUAAGCACCGGCUAACUACGUGCCAGCAGCUGCGGUAAUACGUAGGGUGCAAGCGUUAAUCGGAAUUACUGGGCGUAAAGCGUGCGCAGGCGGUUCGGAAAGAAAGAUGUGAAAUCCCAGAGCUUAACUUUGGAACUGCAUUUUUAACUACCGGGCUAGAGUGUGUCAGAGGGAGGUGGAAUUCCGCGUGUAGCAGUGAAAUGCGUAGAUAUGCGGAGGAACACCGAUGGCGAAGGCAGCCUCCUGGGAUAACACUGACGCUCAUGCACGAAAGCGUGGGGAGCAAACAGGAUUAGAUACCCUGGUAGUCCACGCCCUAAACGAUGUCAACUAGCUGUUGGGGCCUUCGGGCCUUGGUAGCGCAGCUAACGCGUGAAGUUGACCGCCUGGGGAGUACGGUCGCAAGAUU
Molecule: ribosomal RNA, 548 nt
Filed under: uncultured bacterium
Lineage: Bacteria
Description: partial 16S ribosomal RNA
Rfam family: Bacterial small subunit ribosomal RNA
Source: RNAcentral